AAUCAGAAGUGGGGCUAUGCCCCUCUUUUGGGACCCAAGGUCGCUUCGGCGGCCGAUCCGGGAGGAAGACAUUCUUAGGUGGGGAGUUUGGCUGGGGCGGCACAUGUGUUAAAAGAUAACGCAGGUUCCUAAGAUGAGCUCAAAGAGAACAGAAAUCUCGUGUGGAUUAAAAGGGUAAAAGCUCGUUUGAUUCUAAUUCCCAAUAUGAAUACGAACCGCGAAAGCAUGGCCUGUCGAUCCUUUAGACCAUUAGAAUUUGAAACUAGAGGUGUCAGAAAAGUUACCACUGGGAUAACUGGCUUGUGGUAGCCAAGUGUUCGUAGCGAUGUUGCUUUUUAAUCCUUCGAUGUCGGCUCUUCCUAUCAUUGUGAAGCAGAAUUCACCAACUGUUGGAUUAUUCACCCACCAAUAGAGAACAUGAGGUAGGUUUAGACAGUUAUGAGACAGGUUAAUUUUACCCUACUGAUGAUUGUGUUGCAAUGCUAAUUCAACAUAGUACGAGGGGAAUAGUUGAUUUGCAUAAAUGGUCAUCGCGCUUGGUUGAAAAGCCAAUGGCGCAAAGCUAUCGUGCGGUGGAUUAUGACUGAACGGCUCUAAGUCAUAAUCCGGGCCAGAAUCGACGUGUUAUCCACUGCUCGUUUGCCGAUCAGCAG
RNAcentral lists this non-coding RNA (653 nucleotides) under Ricinus communis (castor bean). RNAcentral's name for it is "Archaeal large subunit ribosomal RNA". It matches the Rfam family "Eukaryotic large subunit ribosomal RNA", at positions 2531 to 3192 of the family's 3401-position model. The record is from Rfam by way of RNAcentral. Lineage: Eukaryota; Viridiplantae; Streptophyta; Magnoliopsida; Malpighiales; Euphorbiaceae.